RNAcentral lists this transfer RNA (71 nucleotides) under Cipangopaludina chinensis. Its description in RNAcentral is "tRNA-Val". The record is from RNAcentral. Lineage: Eukaryota; Metazoa; Mollusca; Gastropoda; Architaenioglossa; Viviparidae.
AUAAGUAUAGCAUAUGUAGAAUGUGUCUCGUUUACAUCGAGAAGAGUGCUUGAAUUAUAAAGUUGCUUUUA